This 404-nucleotide ribosomal RNA is filed under the name uncultured bacterium. RNAcentral's name for it is "bacterial SSU rRNA". It matches the Rfam family "Bacterial small subunit ribosomal RNA", at positions 976 to 1380 of the family's 1533-position model. The record is from RNAcentral.
UGGGCUUGACAUGCGCCAGACAUCCCCAGAGAUGGGGCUUCCCUUGUGGUUGGUGUACAGGUGGUGCAUGGCUGUCGUCAGCUCGUGUCGUGAGAUGUUGGGUUAAGUCCCGCAACGAGCGCAACCCUUAUCCUACGUUGCCAGCGCGUUAUGGCGGGGACUCGUGGGAGACUGCCGGGGUCAACUCGGAGGAAGGUGGGGAUGACGUCAAGUCAUCAUGCCCCUUAUGUCCAGGGCUUCACACAUGCUACAAUGGCUGGUACAGAGGGCUGCGAUACCGCGAGGUGGAGCGAAUCCCUUAAAGCCGGUCUCAGUUCGGAUCGCAGUCUGCAACUCGACUGCGUGAAGUCGGAGUCGCUAGUAAUCGCAGAUCAGCAACGCUGCGGUGAAUACGUUCCCGGGCC